RNAcentral lists this ribosomal RNA (451 nucleotides) under uncultured bacterium. RNAcentral describes it as "bacterial SSU rRNA". It matches the Rfam family "Bacterial small subunit ribosomal RNA", at positions 354 to 796 of the family's 1533-position model. The record is from RNAcentral.
GUGGGGAAUUGUUCGCAAUGGGCGCAAGCCUGACGACGCAACGCCGCGUGGAGGAUGAAGAUUUUCGGAUCGUAAACUCCUGUCGAAUGGGACGAAUGGCCUGGCCGUGAACAACGGCCGGGAAUGACGGUACCGUGAGAGGAAGCCCCGGCUAACUCCGUGCCAGCAGCCGCGGUAAUACGGGGGGGGCAAGCGUUGUUCGGAAUUACUGGGCGUAAAGGGCUCGUAGGUGGCCACCUAAGUCCGACGUGAAAUCCCUCGGCUCAACCGGGGAACUGCGUCGGAUACUGGGUGGCUUGAAUCCGGGAGAGGGACGUGGAAUUCCAGGUGUAGCGGUGAAAUGCGUAGAUAUCUGGAGGAACACCGGUGGCGAAGGCGGCGUCCUGGACCGGUAUUGACACUGAGGAGCGAAAGCCAGGGGAGCAAACGGGAUUAGAAACCCCAGUAGUCC